UUGAAAUACCGGUUCCUGUACGAUCACCGAAGUUAAGCAAACUUGAGCCUAGUUAGUACCUAGAUGGGUGACAGCUUGGGAAUACCAAUUACUGUAA
Non-coding RNA from Acanthosepion pharaonis, 97 nucleotides. Lineage: Eukaryota; Metazoa; Mollusca; Cephalopoda; Sepiida; Sepiidae. The record is from the annotation of a GenBank genome assembly.